AUGAAAACCAUCCAUGGGAAUCACAACAGCAAAUUUAGAAGGUUGAACCCGGGAGUCAAAAGAAGAAGAUUUCUCGGGCCAAAGCUUGUUUAUGCGUCUGGCUACUUCAUGCGCUGCUACUUCAUGCGCUAUUGUGCUUUUCCCAGAACCAAGAGGACCAGCCAGGCCAACAAAAACCUGUGCAACGUCAUACAAAUAAGAAGAUUAAAUUAA
Vicia faba (fava bean) is the source of this 213-nucleotide non-coding RNA. NCBI's taxonomy places the organism in Eukaryota, Viridiplantae, Streptophyta, Magnoliopsida, Fabales, Fabaceae. The record is from the annotation of a GenBank genome assembly.